GAGGAGCCUCUCCGCCCGGCAGCCACCCCAUCUGGGAAGUGAGGAGCGUCUCCGCCCGGCAGCCACCCCGUCCGGAAGGGAGGUGGGGGGGGUCAGCCCCCCGCCCGGCCAGCCGCCCCAUCUGGGAGGGAGGUGGGGGGUCAGCCCCCCCGCCCGGCCAGCCGUGCCGUCCGGGAGGGAGGUGGGGGGGUCAGCCCCCCGCCCGGCCAGCCGCCCCGUCCGGGAGGUGAGGGGCGCCUCUGCCCGGCCGCCCCUACUGGGAAGUGAGGAGCCCCUCUGCCCGGCCACCACCCCGUCUGGGAGGUGUGCCCAGCAGCUCAUUGAGAACGGGCCAGGAUGACAAUGGCGGCUUUGUGGAAUGGAAAGGCAGGAGAGGUGGGGAGAGGAUUGAGAAAUCGGAUGGUUGCCGUGUCUGUGUAGAUAGAAGUAGACAUGGGAGACUUUUCAUUUUGUUCUGCACUAAGAAAAAUUCCUCUGCCUUGGGAUCCUGUUGAUCU
This 497-nucleotide long non-coding RNA is filed under the name Homo sapiens (human). RNAcentral describes it as "HSALNT0373335". Lineage: Eukaryota; Metazoa; Chordata; Mammalia; Primates; Hominidae. The record is from RNAcentral.